This 102-nucleotide non-coding RNA is filed under the name Schistosoma mansoni. RNAcentral's name for it is "Eukaryotic large subunit ribosomal RNA". It matches the Rfam family "Eukaryotic large subunit ribosomal RNA", at positions 2882 to 2984 of the family's 3401-position model. The record is from Rfam by way of RNAcentral. Lineage: Eukaryota; Metazoa; Platyhelminthes; Trematoda; Strigeidida; Schistosomatidae.
UGUUUUUCCUUCUAUCAUUGUGAAGCAGAAUUUAUUGAUCGUUGGGUUAUUCACCCUCUAACAAAGAACGUGAGCCGGGUUUAGACUGUCGUGAGACAGGUU